RNAcentral lists this ribosomal RNA (32 nucleotides) under Fusarium solani. RNAcentral's name for it is "partial 18S ribosomal RNA". Lineage: Eukaryota; Fungi; Ascomycota; Sordariomycetes; Hypocreales; Nectriaceae. The record is from RNAcentral.
GUCUCGGUGAACCAGGCGGGGGGGCUCAUCUA